This 514-nucleotide ribosomal RNA is filed under the name Crocidura hildegardeae (Hildegarde's Shrew). RNAcentral describes it as "partial 16S ribosomal RNA". It matches the Rfam family "Bacterial large subunit ribosomal RNA", at positions 1835 to 2575 of the family's 2925-position model. The record is from RNAcentral. Lineage: Eukaryota; Metazoa; Chordata; Mammalia; Eulipotyphla; Soricidae.
CAUCAUUAGUAUUAGAGGCACUGCCUGCCCAGUGACACUAGUUUAACGGCCGCGGUAUCCUGACCGUGCAAAGGUAGCAUAAUCAUUUGUUCCUUAAUUAGGGACUUGUAUGAACGGCCCCACGAGGGUUUAACUGUCUCUUACUUUCAAUCAGUGAAAUUGACCUUCCCGUGAAGAGGCGGGAAUAUAAAAAUAAGACGAGAAGACCCUAUGGAGCUUAAAUUAAUAUGCUCAACAAAAUUUAAACUUAGCCCAACAGGAAUAAUUAUAAUUUAACUGAGCAAUAAAUUUUGGUUGGGGUGACCUCGGAGUAUAACAAAACCUCCGAGUGAUUAUAACCAAGACUUACCCGUCAAGGUUACAUAACUUAUUGAUCCAAUCACAUUGAUCAACGAAACAAGUUACCCUAGGGAUAACAGCGCAAUCCUAUUUAAGAGUUCAUAUCGACAAUAGGGUUUACGACCUCGAUGUUGGAUCAGGACACCCAAAUGGUGCAGCAGCUAUUAAAGGUUCG